GCGACAUCUUUCCGAACCUCUCCAGCGGUCGAGCUUCCGCAAUGUUCUCAAGUUCUGCCGAUGGAUAAACUCCCGCAGCUCCUUCCACAAGUGUCGACCGGAUUCUCCUGACGAACGAACUCCUAUCGCAUCUCCCGGGCUUCUCCAACGAUCUUUCCCAACAGGAUUCGAUCGACUCCAAUCCGAAUUUUUUCCAGAACUUCAUCAGUGGCCGAACUUUCCCAACAACAGAUCUCCACAACG
RNAcentral lists this long non-coding RNA (243 nucleotides) under Elaeis guineensis (African oil palm). Its description in RNAcentral is "long non-coding RNA (EGUI_LNC055717)". The record is from RNAcentral. Lineage: Eukaryota; Viridiplantae; Streptophyta; Magnoliopsida; Arecales; Arecaceae.